RNAcentral lists this long non-coding RNA (6871 nucleotides) under Triticum aestivum (bread wheat). RNAcentral describes it as "long non-coding RNA (TAES_LNC015688)". The record is from RNAcentral. Lineage: Eukaryota; Viridiplantae; Streptophyta; Magnoliopsida; Poales; Poaceae.
GGUUGUUCCUGUAUUAUCCUUGUAUAUGCAAACUACUUUUUGUUUCUUAUACACAACGACCUAUGUUCUAUGUUGGGUACAUAUUUUUGCACUUCUUUUGAAAUUAUUAUGGUGCAUAUGUGAUAUACCUAGCUUGUAUUAAUUUCCAGGGUAUAUUCCAGUCAUAAUGGAGAUGCUUGUGAUAAGUUUGGUAUCUUCCUCUGCUACAUCUUUUGGUGUUAUGGGCCGUUCCUAGAUCUCUAUAUUUUGCAAGAGGCCAUGUUAUUUUGGUAUGCAAGAGCAGGCCUGACAUGUAUUAUUCCUUUUUUGUGUUAUAUGCAUUUUUAUCCUUUCUACUAUGAUUAAGUAGCACCAUUUCUUGAUGGUAUUUCGCUAGGGUUGAUGCUUCCACUAUAGUGUUUGUCAUCUGAAAAUGAAUUUGAAUAAGGUCACUUUUGUAUCAAGGUAAACCACCUGGUUUUUUAUUUGUUCCCCGAGAAGUGUGAAGAUCUUACUGAUAAAUGAUAAUUAUCAAUUUAUAAUUACGUGCUCGACUGUUCACUGUAUCUCUUUGGUGAAAACACACCUAAAAUGGUAUUUCACUUAUAAAUAACUAUCUAAUUUGCAUGUUCCAUUUUAUUUCAGACAUAACACAUUCUUUGUAUGUAUUAUGAUGGAUUUUAGAUAUGCUUAGUUGAUAUCAUUUUUUUCUCUUGACUCUAAAACAGGUAUGUACAAGCUAUUUAAGAGGGCCAAGAAGGCGGAAUAACCUCGCUUAUACAGUUUCUGACUGCUAACAGUGCCAUCAUCAAUGAGCUUCACUCUAAAGUUUGUUCAUGAGAGGGUUGGGCUUCCUUCAAUGCUAGGGCUGAAAUUGGAGAAUAAACAAGGGGUUGACAUGCCUGUGAAGUUCUAUUAGGUAUGCUUCUCUCUCUCCCCAAAUCUUUCGGUUCCUGAAGCACAAACCCUGUCAGUUUGUCCAUAUGUAGAUUAUUUUCCUUCUUGUUGGUGCACUAUUCUCGGGUUUUUUGUGUGUUUCUUUCUUGCGGCCAGCUUCACCAUUUACUCUGGAAGGAGUUACUCAACUAAAAAAGAGCGAACAAGUUGAGAUUCUUUUGUCUUGUCUAUAUCGUUCCUACAAUGUUGUUUGGGUUGAUUUUCUUGCUUUUUUGUAGUUUGUGGAGAGAGUUAAGUAGUAGGGUAGCCUUUCUAUGGUGGCGAUCGCAUGCUGUGCAGCGAGUGUAGUUAAUUUGAUGGUUCAUGUUACAAGAAAUAUGUAACGCCCCAGAUAUACUUUCCAUAUUUGUAUCCAACUCUUGCCGUCUCCGGCGCUAAGUUAUAUUUAUUUCUCGGGUUUGGGUCUUUGUCUCCGUGUGUUGUUUUCUUUUUCGUGCAUCUCUUAUCAUGUCAUCACGUGCGUUGCAUUUGCAUACAUGUUCAUCUCAUGCAUUCGAGCAUUUUCCCCGUUGUCCGUUUUGCAUUCCGGCGUUUCGUUCUCCUCCGGUGGUCAUUUCUACCUUUCUUUCUUGUGUGGGGUUUAAACAUUUCCGGAUUGGACCGAGUCUUGCCAAGCGGCCUUGGUUUACUACCGGUAGACCGCCUGUCAAGUUUCGGGUCAUUUGGACUUCGUUUGAUACUCCAACGGUUAACCGGGGGACCGAAAAGGCCUCGUGUGUGUUGCAGCCCAACACCCCCCCCCAAAUUUGGCCCAAAACCCACCAAACUCUGCUCCAUGUCCUAGAGCGUUCGAUCACGAUCGUGUGGGCGAAAACCGCACCUCAUUUGGACUCUCCUAGCUCCCUCUAUGCCUAUAUAUACACCCCUCCGUUUUCGGAUCUCUCCCUCUCCCCGAAACCCUAAAAAAAAAAAACUCCUUCCUCCGCCGCCGACGGACGUGUCCGGCCCGCGCCGGACAGCGUCCGCUCCACCCCGCCGCCCGCCUCAGCCAACGCUGUGCCGCCACGUGGGCGCGCCCACAUCGCCGCCNNNNNNNNNNNNNNNNNNNNNNNNNNNNNNNNNNNNNNNNNNNNNNNNNNNNNNNNNNNNNNNNNNNNNNNNNNNNNNNNNNNNNNNNNNNNNNNNNNNNNNNNNNNNNNNNNNNNNNNNNNNNNNNNNNNNNNNNNNNNNNNNNNNNNNNNNNNNNNNNNNNNNNNNNNNNNNNNNNNNNNNNNNNNNNNNNNNNNNNNNNNNNNNNNNNNNNNNNNNNNNNNNNNNNNNNNNNNNNNNNNNNNNNNNNNNNNNNNNNNNNNNNNNNNNNNNNNNNNNNNNNNNNNNNNNNNNNNNNNNNNCCCCCCCCGUUGACUUUUGUCCAGAAACCCUAGUUUUUUAUGCGAUGUUUGACUGCUCGUAUCUCCGCAACCGUAGAUCCGUUUUAGGCGUAUGAUAUAUCAAAAUCUUCGUCUCGACAUGUACAUCAUUUCAUUCCAUUGCAUCAUUUGCAUUUGAGGUCAUCUUGAUACCCAAAAUGCUGGUAGAAGGAGGCUUCGUGAGUUAAAUUGCAGAUCCGUUAGUUCAUCAUGCACUUUUGUCAUUUUUGCUAUAUUUAAUCCGUGCAUGAUAUGCCUGUGCCCCUUUGGGAUGUAUUGUGAAGCAUUUUGUCUUCUUUCCAGAGGUGCCACCCAUGCAUUUUUAGGAUGUGUGUGUUGUCUUGUGCAAGCUUGCGAAGUAGGGUACCUGAGAUUGCAGAUUUCAGGGACUUAGUGAUUUUCGCUAAGUCUGGGAUAUUUUAGUUCAUGAUGCUAUAUGUCCAGCUUGUUUCCUAAUGAUCCGUGCCUCUUUUGAGGAUGAUCAGUAAGGGAGUUUUGAUAUUUAUGUUAUGCUCUAUCCAUCCAUGUCUUUGUUGGCAUUUGUGGAGUGCUCUAGGUUGACUCAAUCGAGCUCAACUUUUGCUUCGUUGUUAAUCUGGGCAGAUCGUUAACUUGUUUGCGAUUUCGCCGAUGCUACCGUUAGUGUUCCAUGCAUGCUAUGCCUUCGUUCUUGCCAUGUGUAGCUAGAACUUUGUGCCUUCUUGCUGGUCAUAUGCUUUCCUUGCUAUGACUUGCACUGUAGUGAGUGCAUCGAGCUCGUUUACAUGCCUUCGUGAGUUAAAUUUCAGCAUGUCUCAGUUUUCACUAAGUCUGAAAACUGAUUGUGUUCGAGCGAUGUUCGUGAGCUCGGUAGAGUAUUUUGUGAACCCCUUUUGGCCCCAGGUCACUUUGGGUGUUUUAUUAAGCUUGUUGAGUAGCUCCAUGCCAUGUUCUUACUUGUCAUGUUCAGGUCCUCUAUCAUGUUGUUUUGCUGCUCCGAAGAGAGCUUCGUGAUCUGAAAUUUCAGACUAGUGUUAAUUUCACUAAGUCUGAAAUCUGUUUUGCAUUUGCGUUUUAGCCAUGCUUGUUUGAACCUCUUAAUGGAUGAAUUUGCCUAUGGCUCAGUGCUAGUGUUUUGUCAACCAUCUUGUGUACAUCACUGCCAUGUAUUUUGUUUUCAUGUUUGGUGGCUGUAGCAUGUUCAUUUCGUUGCAUUUAGAUGCCUACUUGCUGUAAAUCGCAGACCGGUGUCAUAUCUUAAAACGCUCGCCAUUUCCAAACCGUAGCUCCGAUUCCAAUGAUCCUUAUAUCGUUUUCAAGCGAUUUCAUCCCCUCUAUCCAGUGGCACACUUGGUUUUCCAAGUUGAGGCCAGGUUCAUGCAUUUCCUGUCAUAUCUUGCAUUUUGCAUCCCGCAUUGCAUUCCGCAUAGCAUAUCGUCAUUUCAUCAUAUUGCUUGGUCUUGCCCGUGGUUGAUUGUGUCCUUGUUGUUUGUUUGUCUUUGGGUAGAGCCGGGAGACGAGUUUGCUACCGAGGAGCCCGUUGAGUUUGCUUGUGAGGAUCCAGUCAACUCUGACAACUGUGCAGGCAAGAUGAUCAUACCCUCGAAAUCACUACUAUCUUUGCUAUGCUAGUUUGCUCGCUCUUUUGCUUUGCCAAUGCUACGAUGCCUACCUUUUGCUUGUCAGCCUCCCAACUGCCAUGUUGAACCUCUAACCCACCCUUGUCCUAGCAAACCGUUGAUUGGCUAUGUUACCGCUUUGCUCAGCCCUUCUUAUAGCGUUGUUAGUUGCAGGUGAAGAUUGGAGCCGUUCCUCGUGGGAACAUUUAUUUACUUGUUGGGAUAUCAUUAUAUUGCUAUGUUAUCUUAAUGCAUCUAUAUACUUGGUAAAGGGUGGAAGGCUCGGCCUCUCGCCUAGUGUUUUGUUCCACUCUUGCCGCCCUAGUUUCCGUCAUAUCGGUGUUAUGUUCCCGGAUUGUUGCGUCCCUUACACGGUUGGGCUAUAAUGGGAACCCCUUGAUAGUUCGCCUUGAUUAAAGCUUUUCCAGCAAUGCCCAACAUUGGUUUUACCUUUUGCCACCUAGCCUCUUUUCCCUUGGGUUUCCGGAGCCCGAGGGUCAUCGUAUUUUAGCCCCCCUUGGGCCAGUGCUCCCUCUGAGUGUUGGUCCGAACUGAGCUGCCUGCGGGGCCACCUCGGGGAAACUUGAGGGUUGGUUUUUACUCGUAGCUAGUCUCAUCUGAGUGUGCCCUGAGAAAGAGAUAUGUGCAGCUCCUAUCGGGAUUUGUCGGCACAUUCGGGCGGUGUUGCUGGACUUGUUUUAACCUGUCGAAUCAUCUUGUUGUACCAAGGUACCGAGUCUGAUCGGUGUGUCUUGGGUGGAGGUCUAUUCCUUCGUUGACCGUGAGAGCUUGUCAUGGGCUAAGUUGGGACUCCCCUGCAGGGAUUGAUCUUUCGAAAGCCGUGCCCGCGGUUAUGGGCAGAUGGGAAUUUGUUAAUGUCCGGUUGUAGAUGACUUGAACUAAACUUAAUUAAAAUGAAUCAAUCGUGUGUGUUACCGUGAUGGCCCCUUCUCGGCGGAGUCCGGGAAGUGGACACGGUGUUGGAGUUAUGCUUGCGCAGGAUGUUCCUUUAGCUUCUCGCUCGUGCUUCGCCUUCUCUUCUCGCUCUCUUUGCGUAUAAGUUAGCCACCACAUAUGCUAGUCGCUUGCUGCAGCUCCACAUAUUUUGCCUUAUCCAUUCCUAUGAGCUUAAAUAGUCUUGAUCGCGUGGGUGUGAGAUUGCUGAGUCCCUGUGGCUCACAGAUACUACAACUCCAGAUGCAGGUCCAGGUGAUUCUGCUCCAGUUGACGAUUACGAGCUCAGGUGGGAGUUCGACGAGGACUCUCAGCGUUACUACGUGUCCUUUCCAGAUGAUCAGUAGUGGUGCCUAGUUGGGGUUAUCGAUUCAGGACCUUGUCGCAUGUUGGGGGGUCUUUUCUAUUUGGCGCCGUAGUCGGGCCAUGAGUGUUUGUUUGAUGGAUGUUAUUUAUGUACUCUGAUGUGACGUGGCGAGUGUAAGCCAACUAUGUUAUCUCCCCCUUUUUAUUAUGUAUUACAUGGGAUGUUGUAAUGAUUGCCUGACUUGCGACAUUGCUUUCAAUGCGGUUAUGCCUCUAAGCCGUGCCUCGACACGUGGGAGCUAUAGCCGCAUCGAGGGCGUUACAAAAUAUCAUUCCUCUGUUUUUAGGUUUCAGGUUCCUUUUGUUGUGAGGUGCUCCAUGGCCCUUUGCUUGGUUGCUCUGUGGUGAGGCAACAGAGAUAAUUAGCAGUCUUGUAUACUAACCAAGAGAACAUCCAUUUCAUGAUUUUGGGUAUUGGGUUCUCUUUGCUAAACCAGUUGCAGCUAGAUGAGAGAAGUAGUAAGUAAUAUCAGGUGCAUAAUUUCUAUCAGUCUGUAUUCUAAUGACUACUGAUAUCCCCUUUCCUGUAGUGUGGCACUGAAUCAAUAGGUCAUUUUUGCACAAUCAUGUGUCAUGUUCCUUUAUGAAUCAUAUAAUAUCAAGAGACAACUUAUGGAACUGUUCAGAUUUUUAUGGCAGCCCUAACUUCGCUAGGUAAUAACUUUAUUUGGUCUUUAUCCAACUGUUUUUUAUCAUAUCAAAUUACUGCAGAGCGUACUGAUUUUUUUGUCACCUAGCAACGGCGCCUUUCAGUUCAACUAGCAGUUUAAACCUCCGAAGGUUUAAGGUGAACAAUAAGAUAUUUUUGGGUUUGUUUGAACUGUUGUGUCUGUCCACUUGAGUGCCUCCAUAUGUGGUUCUUCUGUUGCAUUAGUUAUAUUUUUAUUUUUGAUCAUCUUGCCCAAAACUAAAGUUUCACUACAUGAAAAAUGACUACUUUAUUUUAUACCAUGUUACCCUCUUUCUCUUCCCCACAGGACAGCGUCUCUCCGCGUUCUCGAUCCGGCGCCGCCACAUAUCGUGAUUCUGGAUCGGGCGCAGGUCGUCGCCAUAAGAGAGCCUGGCUGGUGUGGUCUUCACGCUUGGUGUGGAGAAGCACGGGAGGAUGAGUAGGACGGGCAUGGGGAAGGAGCAGCCAGGCCGGAGCUCCGGCGUUCCUCGUGUCAUGGUCGAAUGGAGCCGGCCAUCACUAUGGGCUUCUGCUCGCCGGUCGUCGUUCCCCAAUCUCAGUUGCUCAUCUUUGGCUUCACCAUCUUCCUCCCCUGAUCAUGCAUCUAUUUUAAAUCAUAUAAUUAUGCUAUAUCAUAUAUGUUGUUUAGUUCACACUUGUGCAUGCGCAUGCAUUGGCAUUGAUUUAGACAGAGAUAUUGCAUGAUUUGUACAUAGAAGGAGUACGGAUGAUCUAGGAAUAAAUGUUUGAAUAAAGUUAGUAGUGAGAUUUAGGUAGAGGUUACCUGCAAUGUUCUGUUUUAUGUAGAUUCUAAGAUGCAAAAUCAUACAUGGUCCUGUUAGUAAUUUGUUUGAGUUGUGAGUUUAAGCAUUUUCCCUUGGAAUGUUUGUAUGUGUGAUCACUUGCUUUUAGGUUCCCAGUGGUAUAUCAUGAGAAGUUUUUUACUUUGCACCGGGUGAUCAACUACAUAUUUAGACGAAUACACUAUUCAGGACCAG